UUCGCCUUCCGCCAUUAUUGGGAGGCCCCCCCAGGCACAUGGAACUAGCCAUGUGGUAGAAGGGAUUCUAUCAUGAAAAACAACCUUCUGAGAUCAAAUUUGUUUGAGUACCUUCGGGUCAAAACUAGCCCCAUGAAGUACAGUGAAACCUUAAAUGGAGAGAAAAUAAAGAUCACACAUUCUUCAAAUUUUCUGUGGAAAAGCAUGAACAUAAAAAUGAGAGAGAAUUAAAAAGAAACACUUGGCAGCUUUUACAUGCAGCCUCCUUGUUACGACCCACUAAUUCGACAAGGAUCAAAUCGUCAACUGUAAGAGGAAUUGGAGCCAGACCUUUUGAGUCACAGACUGAUAGCUGCCAUUUUCAUUAGGUAAA
This is a long non-coding RNA of Symphalangus syndactylus (siamang), 373 nucleotides long. RefSeq lists it as uncharacterized. Lineage: Eukaryota; Metazoa; Chordata; Mammalia; Primates; Hylobatidae. The record is from RefSeq and is a predicted model, not a curated record.